UGCGUGUAGGCUCCGUCAUGAGCCCGACUGCGCCUCCUCCCACCGCCUUUCCAUCCGACGUCGGCAAGCUGGUUGCGGCGGGCCCGCUUUUGCUGGCCUACAGCGGCGAAUCGGCCACCCGAUCUGGGCGUCGAUGAUGCCGCUGCCUCUGCUCCCCUCUUCCUGGUGCAGGGCGAAGACGCAAUGGUGGUGGCGAACGUGCGGUUUAUGGGACUCGCGGCGGUGCCCUUCUCCGUGGCCUCGCCCUCCUGCGCGGGCGCAGCCUCUGCUCUGCGACACCCGGACAACCAGUUCUGCAGCUCGUCAGCGCGCUCUAACGCGUGCUCAGCAACUUCCGUGUACGCCUCCCGACCUCCACGACGCGCUCCACGGCUUCGCAGGGCGUGACGGAGCCUCUGCUCGAAUCCUCAUUCGACGUCGUGCUCUGGGGCAAGGGGCUCCCGGAGUCCGUGCUCGCCGCCGCUGGUAAGACAGUCCUCCAUGUCUAUCCCAGUCUGUUCUACGGCUCCCUCUAUUCCUCCAUCCUGCUCGCCUCCUUCCUGUCCUUCCUCUCCCUGACCCUUCUCCGUCUUCAUUGACCGCGGUGGCGGCGGCGGCGGCGGCCGGCUCCUAUUCGUACACCGUCGUCGAUCUACACCGCCGCGGCGUGUACUCGGAUUUCGCGACCUUGCCGACCCUUAUGCUGCCCCCUUGGACUCUGAUCAGCAUCUCAUUCACGGAUAGGAAUUUGGAAGGGGAAAGAGAGAUAUAUGUCCAUUUAACUUCACAGUGCUCAGUGAAAUUAUUAUGGAGUGACUAAGACUACAAUACAAGCAAGCUCACCAAUGACCAAACUGCGAAGGCAUUCUAAUUAAUCUGAGCAAGAUCUCACUGUUGGAUCUGCGGAAAAAAAACACAAGUUUCUCCUCUAAUAAAGGGUGUGCCUGGACAAGUCAACAAGAAUAAUCAAGCAGCUUAAGGUAUUCUAAGAGGUAAGGGUCAUCUUGGCCUGUCCCUUUCCUUUAGGAGGUCCCUGUACUACUGCACUAAACAAAGAUUGGAUAUGGUUGCCCUUUUCAAUUUAGAAAUCAAUGUACGGUUCGUUCUUCACUGGAUUCAUACAACUGCAUCGGCCCAUGCUUGAAGAUCUAACUUCAUUUGAUUGCUGCGCAUUUUCUCUCUUUACUGCGAUUGGACUAUGAAGCUUAUUAUGGUUGGCUGGCUUUUGUUUUGCAUAUUGCUAGCAUCAUAUUUACAUGACUAGCUAUUGAGAAUAACUCUUGCAGGCCAUUGAAAUCAGAUUUCCUUAUCAGUUUGAUGGGGUGUCAUCGGGUCCAGAUGAUUUAGUAAUUGUCAUAGCGAUUUGCUCCUGCUGCAUCCACAUUUAAUAGCGCGCUCUAUAUAACUGAUCAGCAGAAAGGUAUGAUCCAAGGGAAGGUUUCUGGGCGCUGCUUCCAAGUAUGAGCGUGAGAAGAGGAUCCCACACCCACUCGGUAGCUGUCUUGGGGGAUGCCCCGUAUGCUGUGGGAGGGUAUGAUGGAAGCAACAUGAUAUCUAACGUAGAGAUUUUUGACCUGUGCACUAAUUCAUGGAGAAUAUGCAGCCCAUUACAGGUUACAAUGGACGAUAAUUUGUUCUACAUUGGCGGGCACAGAUACAUCAUGCCAGCGACUGCAUUUCAACCGUCCAUGAUCCAAGUAUGAACACAGGGAAAACUGUUCUCAUGCCGGCAUUUUCCAAACUACUUAAUGCAUCUAUGUAACAUGGCCAGUUCCACCUAAAUACAAUGUCUGUUAAGUUAGUGAACCCUCCUAUUCUCCUACAGCUCCUUAGCUAUCCCAAUUGGAGAUUUAAAUUGUAAUAUAACAACUGCUCCUGUCAAAUACUUCUAUAUGUAUCAUCUGCAGUAGUUUAUCCAUAAACUAUUUAUCACUC
Long non-coding RNA from Panicum virgatum (switchgrass), 1914 nucleotides. RefSeq lists it as uncharacterized. The record is from RefSeq and is a predicted model, not a curated record. Lineage: Eukaryota; Viridiplantae; Streptophyta; Magnoliopsida; Poales; Poaceae. The transcript has 7 exons.